GUGCGUGGCUCAGUGGUAGAGCACUUACCUAGCAUGCAUGAGGCACUGGGUUCCAUCCUCAGCGCCACA
This 69-nucleotide transfer RNA is filed under the name Marmota monax (woodchuck). RNAcentral describes it as "tRNA.Ala". It matches the Rfam family "tRNA", at positions 5 to 66 of the family's 71-position model. From Rfam's summary of the family: Transfer RNA (tRNA) molecules are approximately 80 nucleotides in length. Their secondary structure includes four short double-helical elements and three loops (D, anti-codon, and T loops). Further hydrogen bonds mediate the characteristic L-shaped molecular structure. tRNAs have two regions of fundamental functional importance: the anti-codon, which is responsible for specific mRNA codon recognition, and the 3' end, to which the tRNAs corresponding amino acid is attached (by aminoacyl-tRNA synthetases). tRNAs cope with the degeneracy of the genetic code in two manners: having more than one tRNA (with a specific anti-codon) for a particular amino acid; and 'wobble' base-pairing, i.e. permitting non-standard base-pairing at the 3rd anti-codon position. Lineage: Eukaryota; Metazoa; Chordata; Mammalia; Rodentia; Sciuridae. The record is from RNAcentral.